UACGUAGGGGGCGAGCGUUGUCCGGAAUUACUGGGCGUAAAGCGCAUGUAGGCGGGCGACUAAGUCAGGGGUGAAAACCGUGGGCUCAACCUACGGCUUGCCCUUGAUACUGGUCGUCUUGAGUACAGGAGAGGGAAGCGGAAUUCCCGGUGUAGCGGUGAAAUGCGUAGAGAUCUGGAGGAAUACCGGUGGCGAAGGCGGCCCCCUGGACAAAGACUGACGCUCAGGCACGAAAGCGUGGGGAGCAAACAGG
This 253-nucleotide ribosomal RNA is filed under the name uncultured microorganism. Its description in RNAcentral is "partial 16S ribosomal RNA". It matches the Rfam family "Bacterial small subunit ribosomal RNA", at positions 524 to 776 of the family's 1533-position model. The record is from RNAcentral.